UACGUAGGGUGCAAGCGUUAAUCGGAAUUACUGGGCGUAAAGCGUGCGCAGGCGGUGAUGUAAGACAGGUGUGAAAUCCCCGGGCUUAACCUGGGAACUGCAUUUGUGACUGCAUCGCUGGAGUGCGGCAGAGGGGGGAUGGAAUUCCGCGUGUAGCAGUGAAAUGCGUAGAGAUGUGGAGGAAUACCGAUGGCGAAGGCAGCCCCCUGGGAUAACACUGACGCUCAUGCACGAAAGCGUGGGGAGCAAACAGG
RNAcentral lists this ribosomal RNA (254 nucleotides) under uncultured bacterium. Its description in RNAcentral is "partial 16S ribosomal RNA". It matches the Rfam family "Bacterial small subunit ribosomal RNA", at positions 524 to 776 of the family's 1533-position model. The record is from RNAcentral.